Molecule: ribosomal RNA, 1808 nt
Filed under: Lula jakobsenorum
Lineage: Eukaryota; Heterolobosea; Eutetramitea; Percolomonadida; Lulaidae
Description: partial small subunit ribosomal RNA
Rfam family: Eukaryotic small subunit ribosomal RNA
Source: RNAcentral
UUAGGAUCUCAACUGCUAGGAAUCAUAAAAGGGAUAACCAUAUUAAAGUAUGGCUAAUACCUGAAUAUGAAGCUACUUCGGUAGUGGGCGGAAGGGGCGACUGAGUUCCCCCUUCCAUGAGAGAAGAUGGCUUGCCAUCGUCUUUCGGUAAACUGGUUCUGGGUGUGCCCUUGUGGCACUCAUUCAGGAUGCGUUUCGGCGUAUUCUGAGACACUAGUGGUCGAGGAGAAGACUUUCUUAACAAUUAGUUAUGUUGCUAAGAUAGAGACUUAGCAAGACUAUAAUUGUUACGAGAAAUUAGCGUUUGAUUUCGGAGAGAAAGCCUUACAAACAGCUAUCACAUCUAAGGAAGGCAGCAGGCGCGCAAAUUACCCAAUGAGGACAUCUUGAGGUAGUGACAAGACAUAUUGACCUUACCGGUACAACCGGGAAGGGUAAGUGGUAAAACACUUUUGAAAUGAUCACAUUUUAAAGCCAUGUGAGAGUAGCGAGUAGAGGAAGAGUCUGGUGCCAGCACCCGCGGUAAUUCCAGCUCUACUAGUCUAUAUUAAUAUUGUUGUAUUUAAAACGUUCGUAGCUAAUUCAAGGGCUCAUUCUAUGAAGUCGGAGCUAAGUAAUGUACAAAGCUCUGCGCAAGCAGGGGGGCGUAUGGCACAAGCCGCACUUCGGUGUUUUGCUUUCUUCUUUAGCGAAAUCUUGGACGAAGGUUCCGAAUGGAUCCGGAAGCCUUGGGAUCGUGACGGCAUAGGAUGAGUCUGCUUCGCGAUUGUGAGUAAAUCAGUACGCUUAAAGUAGGCAUUGUGGCAGUUCCUUAGGUUCUGCGUUUGCUCGUAUGAUUUAGCAUGAUAUCGCAACGAAGAUACUAACCCUUCGGGGAUAGUGUUGUUCACAAUGGGAUAGGUUGAAGUGACAGGUAUUGAUGGGAUAGAGGUGAAAUUCAAUAACCCCGUUGAGACCAACCAAGGCGAAAGCAUGUCACGACCACCUCUUCGUCAGUGAGGAACUAACGUUAAGGGAUCAAAGAUGAUUAGAUACCGUUGUAGUCUUGACCUUAAACUAUGUCAACAGAGAAUUACAAGGAAACCACUAUGAUUUUUGUAGGACUCAAAGGAAACUUAAAGUGUCUCGAUUAUAGGGGGAGUAUUAUCGCAAGAUUGAAACUUAAAAGAAUUGACGGAAAAGCACCACCAGGCGUGGAAUCUGCGGCUUAAUUCGACUCAACACGGGGAACCUUACCAAGUUAGGACACAAAUAGGAUUGACAGGUUAAAGACCUUUCUUGAUUUUGUGGAAGGUGGUGCAUGGCCAUUCUUAGUUCGUGGAGUGAUUUGUCUUGUUGAUUCAGAUAACGAGCGAGACCUCUACCCACUAAUUAAGCGCAUAGCUUGACUCUACGGAGGAGAGCCCAGCUAUCUUCGGAUAGUAUGCAAUACUUUUUAAGUAGCUUUCUUUUAGGGGUAUCACUAGACGUUAUAAGUCAGGUGAAAGGAGAGGCAAUAAUAGGUCUGUUAUGCCCUUAGAUAUCUUGGGAUGCACGCGUAUUACAAUGAGUGACACACUGGGUAAAAACGUAGCAUGUUUAUCAUGUUGCAACCAGCUCUUAGCGGAGUAGGAAAACCGACAAUGUCACUCAUGGUAAGGAUCGGGGCUUGCAAAUGCCCCGUGAAUCAGGAAUGCCUAGUAAUCCCGUUUCAGCAAAUCGCAAUGAUUAUGUCCCUGCUUUUUGUACACACCGCCCGUCGCAUCAAGGAACACGGUAGAAACCAUGAAGUGCAUGGAGUUGGCCUUCGGGAAGGCGAAGUGCAAUGA